UUUGAACUCCCUCCGUCCCAAAAUUCUUGUCUUAAAUUUGUCUAAAUACGGAUGUAUCUAGUUACAUUUUAGUGUUACAUCCGUAUCUAAACAAAUGUAAGACAAGAAUUUUGCGACGGAGGGAAUACUAC
This is a non-coding RNA of Triticum aestivum (bread wheat), 131 nucleotides long. Lineage: Eukaryota; Viridiplantae; Streptophyta; Magnoliopsida; Poales; Poaceae. The record is from Rfam.